AACGAACGCUGGCGGCAGGCUUAAGACAUGCAAGUUGAACGAUCUCUUCGGAGAUAGUAGCGCACGGGUGAGUAACACGUGGGAAUGUACCCUUGGGUGUGGGACAACAGUUGGAAACGACUGCUAAUACCGCAUAAUGGCUCCGGCCCAAAGCUCCGGCGCCCAAGGAUCAGCCCGCGUUAGAUUAGGUAGUUGGUGAGGUAAAGGCUCACCAAGCCGACGAUCUAUAGCUGGUUUGAGAGGAUGAUCAGCCACACUGGUACUGAGACACGGACCAGACUCCUACGGGAGGCAGCAGUCAGGAAUAUUGCGCAAUGGAGGAAACUCUGACGCAGCCAUGCCGCGUGAGUGAAGAAGGCCCUAGGGUUGUAAAACUCUUUCAGUGGUGAAGAUGAUGACGGUAACCACAGAAGAAGCUCCGGCCAACUUCG
This 431-nucleotide ribosomal RNA is filed under the name uncultured Alphaproteobacteria bacterium. RNAcentral describes it as "bacterial SSU rRNA". It matches the Rfam family "Bacterial small subunit ribosomal RNA", at positions 29 to 505 of the family's 1533-position model. The record is from RNAcentral. Lineage: Bacteria; Pseudomonadati; Pseudomonadota; Alphaproteobacteria.